Megalopta genalis is the source of this 1898-nucleotide long non-coding RNA. RefSeq lists it as uncharacterized. The record is from RefSeq and is a predicted model, not a curated record. NCBI's taxonomy places the organism in Eukaryota, Metazoa, Arthropoda, Insecta, Hymenoptera, Halictidae.
GUGCACGUGAAGAGCAGUUUUCGAUUAUGGCCGGGACAGAAUCGUAUUUCUCGCGACGAUCCUGGACCAUUUAGAUAACGUAGAUAUCCCGUAUCUGCUGCGGCGCGACGCGAUAAGGCCCGAGUGCUUAUUUUCGACAAGGAAAGUCAAGGAGAGACCGGUGAUCGAAUUCCUGAAGGAGAUCUUGAAACGCGACACUCGCGACGUGCAGGUUAUCUGGGGCUACCGAAAAAUUACGACCGGCUGUUUGUACAGGAGGCGCUCCGGUCGCCCCGUUUUGAUACGUUAAAAGUCUUCCUGUCGGAGAAUAAUGGCCGCCGGUAAAGAGAGAAGCUGUCGGAACGGGACCAUUAAAUUUACGACAUCCGCGCGAUAUUAGUGGACCGCUGUUGCUCGUUAAGGGGUGAAAAAUGAAGCGUAAGUGCACUUUCGUGCGGUCCGAGUCGACGCGUCCGCGAACGAGUCGUUCGAACCUCUCACACGGAAUCGACGUUACGUCGACGCUGGCCGAGUCUCUUUGUCGCGCAACGCGUCGUUAAGGCGGCGCUGGAACGACAUUGCCGGACUAUUUCGCCGGCGGAACGAGAUAGACUUACAUAGAAAUGCUAUUCGAUCCGAGCGUGUCGCGAAUCCUCUUUGCCGCGCCAAUGGAAAAAUAAAUCAACGGAAACAACCGAAGACGUUAAAGCUUCUUUCAUCGAUACUUUUGACGUUGAAUGACAUAACCUUGACGGUCGAAUCAACCGGAUGAAUGCCACAAUUUUCCGAGCUUUCGUACGAAGCCACCCGAAAGUGAAAACAGCGGCUAAAAUUGAUCGGUCGCGAUCUCGAAGGCCACCGAGGUGGGGAUGGCCACCAUGUUUGCCGAUGCGAUUUCGGUUGUUAUCGCCGAAACGCCAACGCGAUUAUCCGUGUCACCGCAAGUUUCGAAAUCGUUGGACAAAUAAGGGAAAGCGAAGAAAUCUCUCUUUUUACCGUAAAUACCACAGAUGGUCGCUCUGUUGGUACGUGUUGCCGAUCAUCGUCGUCGAGCUCGUACUUACCUGAAAUAAGACAAAAAAUUCAAAGUACGCAAACAAGACAACUGACUGCAACAAGACAAAAAAUUCAAAGGCCUGUAAAAUUAACAACUCCGAAAAAUCCUUCGAAAUCUGUCACUGAAGAAUGAAAUCUGUCACCACGAACGUGGCCCACGUUCGACUCUAAUCCUCGAGCGAGGACCACGGGGAGGGGGGAUUUUCCGACUCGCAGCCGGCGAGCGAGGAUCGGCGCGACUCGGCGAGACUCGGCGCGACUCGGCGCGGCUCGGCGAUUGUUUACGGGAACACGGAAUAGGUGUCGGACAGUGGCAGCCAGCGGUGAUCGCAGGCAGGCGCAUUAUAUUCGGUUCGCAUGCACCGGCUCAUGGAUAACCACGGUGGCGAGGCUAGGGACUCUCUGCCGAAGGGACGCAACACAACCAUCACGGUCCAGUAGCAUUCGCUUGAAACAAGGGGUCCGAUUUCGUUGAUCCGGAGCGGCAGUGCCCGCGUCGAAUCCCUCCUGGAAUACCGUUAUCGUAUAAAUUCGUGAGCGAAGUUCGGAACUCGCAUCCGCGGGGCAAACGCGAUCCGCUACCCUAUCCCCACUCUCCGUCUCUCGCUCCCUCCUUCCCUCUCUCUUUUACCCGACGCCGUUCCCGAUACAGAUAAAUAGUUGUACACGCGCGAAUGGCUACGAAACGGUUAAGAGAUUUACGCCGGUGGGGAGAAACGAGUCGAACGCGCGCGUCGUUUCAUCCGAGCGAUCGACGACACGUUGAACGAUGCCGUUCGACGAAGCGCGACGGCGUAUCUUCUCCCCAAAAAAUUCACUUAAUAAAAAUAUUAUGUAUAAUAUAAUAUAUAAAAUAUUAAAUA